GACGAACGCUGGCGGCGUGCUUAACACAUGCAAGUCGAACGGUGAAGCGCCUUCCUUUUUGGUGGGUGUGGAUGAGUGGCGAACGGGUGAGUAACACGUGAGUAACCUGCCCCCUUCUUCUGGAUAACCGCAUGAAAGUGUGGCCAAUAUGGGAUAUUCUGGGUCUGUCGCAUGAUGGGUCUGGGAAAGAUAUUGUUUCGGUGGGGGAUGGGCUCGCGGCCUAUCAGCUUGUUGGUGGGGUGAUGGCCUACCAAGGCGGUGACGGGUAGCCGGCCUGAGAGGGUGGACGGUCACACUGGGACUGAGACACGGCCCAGACUCCUACGGGAGGCAGCAGUGGGGAAUAUUGCACAAUGGGCGCAAGCCUGAUGCAGCGACGCCGCGUGAGGGAUGGAGGCCUUCGGGUUGUGAACCUCUUUCGCCAGUGAAGCAGGCCUGCCUCGUUUGUGGGUGGGUUGACGGUAGCUGGAUAAGAAGCGCCGGCUAACUACGUG
This 494-nucleotide ribosomal RNA is filed under the name uncultured bacterium. Its description in RNAcentral is "partial 16S ribosomal RNA". It matches the Rfam family "Bacterial small subunit ribosomal RNA", at positions 28 to 507 of the family's 1533-position model. The record is from RNAcentral.